RNAcentral lists this small nuclear RNA (331 nucleotides) under Mesocricetus auratus (golden hamster). RNAcentral describes it as "7SK RNA". It matches the Rfam family "7SK RNA". Rfam says of the family: 7SK was discovered as an abundant small nuclear RNA in the mid-70s but a possible function has only recently been suggested. Two independent studies have found that 7SK RNA binds the CDK9/cyclin T complex (known as elongation factor P-TEFb). The record is from Rfam by way of RNAcentral. Lineage: Eukaryota; Metazoa; Chordata; Mammalia; Rodentia; Cricetidae.
AGCUGUGAGGGCUAUCUGACUGUGCCAUCUGUCAUCCCAUUGAUCACCAGGGUUCAUUUGGUUCAUCUGGCUGGCUAGGUAGGUGUCCCCUUCCUCCCUCAUGGCUCCAUGUGCGUCCUUCCUGCUGCACACUCGGUUGAAGAGAAUGACCUUCCCUGAAUAGAGGAGGACUAGUCUUUGGCCAAGGGUAUACAAGUAGCUACACUUCCUGAUAGAACCUCCAAACAAACUCUCAAGAAGAGUAAGCAACAUUUUAGUUUAGAGCCAAUUUUAAAUAACAAAGCCUUUGAUAGAAAACACAAAAAUAUGAGCUACAUAUAUGGCUGUAAGU